Gallus gallus (chicken) is the source of this 2318-nucleotide long non-coding RNA. RefSeq lists it as uncharacterized. The record is from RefSeq and is a predicted model, not a curated record. The transcript is spliced from 5 exons. Lineage: Eukaryota; Metazoa; Chordata; Aves; Galliformes; Phasianidae.
UUCCCCGCCCGCUCCCUCCUCCGACUUCUCCUCACCAGUGGGGGGCGCCAGAGGGCGGCGGCGUGGGCGCGGGGCGGUCUCCAUGGCAACGGCGGCUGCCUGCGGCCUGCGGGUUCUGUGAGGCCUACAGGCUCUGCGAGGCCUGCGGGUUCUGCGGGUUCCCACCCCACCAUGCCCACUGACCGUGUCUUCCAGUGCCACAUCCCCGCAGUUCGUGACCACCUCCCGGUUCGCUGACCCCAGCACCUCCCUCUGGAGAAGGAACUGUUCCUACUACCCUCCCCGGCCCGACCCGAGGCCGUCCCCUCUCAUCCUACCUCCCUUACCCAGAGCAGAGGCCGCCCCCCACCUCACUACCACCUCCUCUCAGCAGUAGAGUCUUUCCCAGGCCCUGUGCUGUGCUGCAGACGGACCCAUCCCUUUCCCCCACUGCUCCCCAUGAGGCCUGGGGGGGCGCUGGGCUGUGGGUGAAUGGCGUUGUCUCUGGCAGCACAUACAGCAAGGUAACGUGGAGAAAGGGAGGCUCAGAAUUGUGCAAAAUUGUCAUAUUUGAAGUUCAGAACUAAAGUCAAUCUGGUUUUCCUGCAGGUGUUAGCAAAUAUUACAGAGCAGUUUAUUUGUAUGCAGUUUUGCUUGUUUUUCUCACCAUUUUUAUCCACUGUAAUACUUCACAUCAUAGAAUCAUAGAACUCAAUCACUGAGGCUGGAAAGGACCUCUGAGAUCAGCAAACAACUGAUGGCCAAAGCGCACACCAGAGUUUCUGCAAACCUCCACUUGCAAGGAGUGCUGUCCUCGUUACUCACUUGUUCUAAUUGUGAGGUGUUGGAAAUGUUUGUGUUGCUGUAUUUGACUCGUGUCAGGAAGAUGAGGAAGAUCGAUGGGUGCCUGGGCAGACCGACCUGGUGGCUGGCAGCCCUGCCCACAGCGGGGGGUUGGAACUAAAUGACCAACCCAACCACUCUAUGACUAUCAUUAUUUGAAUGUGAGCUUUUAAUUGCUAUCAUUUCAGAUCAAAUGCCAAAUCUUUGGUGUUUGUGAGGAACAAAUGCCCAACAGCCAUCCCAUGGUAUGUCAGUGCUUUGUCUGACUGUAGUGUGAAGGUGUUGCUCAGGACCAGGGACACGUGGAGCUAUCGGUAAGGCUGUGAUUUCUUCUCCUCUGAAUUUGUACAGAGGGAUGAAGGGUGACCUCAUUACAGCCUUCCAGGACCUACAGGGAGCCUCCAAACAGGAGGGGAGGCAACUGGGGAGUUGCUCUUUACAAAGUGGUCUGCAGGGCACUGCUGUCUUCAUGUCACUUGAACACAAAGCUGAUGGAAAGGGGAAUGCCUAAAGAUCAAAAGCCAAAUCUUUGGUGUUUGUGAGGAAAAAAAAUGCCCAGCAGCCGUCCUGCAGCACAUCAGUGCUUUGUCUGACUGCGGUGUGAAGGUGUUGCUCGGGACCAGGGACACUUGGACUGGUUGGUGCUACACACUCUUAGGCUACACCAUGAACAGCCUUCAUUUUCCCCUUAAGGAAUGCUGACCUUCCAGCUCCUUCCCACUGCUCCCUGUACCAAGGGGACACUUUGUUGAUGCGAGGAGUGGUGAGCAUAUUGAAGACUGACAGGAGAAAUCACUUUGUGUCUCAAAGCACACACUGGGCCCAGCAGUCCUUGGUGGUGACUGGCAGCCUGGAGACGUCAGGCAGCAUCAGGACCCACUGGCUGCUGUGUUGCUGUGACCUCUGGAACGAGCAAACAGCUCCCACCUUCCUCCUCCAUCCCAGAGCGCCCUGCAGGAGCCGCUGUUCUCUUGUACAGCUCUGUAAGAUGUGAGCAAGCAGGUCAGGAAUCAAAUCAGUAACCCAGGGGAGGUGCAUAUCAGGAACAAUUCCUUCUCCAAAGAGCAGUCAGUGCUGGCACAGCUGCCCAGGGGUGGGGUCACUGUCCUGGGGCAUUCCAGAGCCGUGGGGAUGUGGCAUCAGCUAACAUCAGUUCACCAGUAGUUGCAUUUGGUGUGUGAUAACUGCAUUUGCUUCACCUUUUCCUUUUGAAAACCUUUGUGGUUUUGUGUAUUCCUAGUCUUGCUUCCACCAGAUUGAGUAAAUAAACAGUAUUUAAUUUAAAAAAGAAAAGAAAAAAAAAAAAGAAUAAAGAAUUGUAGGCCUUGCUGCUUUAUCUUCAGAGCACUAAGAAGUGAUUAUAGGAGAAAAGUUACUAGCUAUGAAUUUGCAUCUGCAGGGUGACCUCAUUGCAGCCUUCCAGGACCUCCAGGGAGCCUCCAAACAGGAGGGGAGGCAACUCUUGGAAAGGGCAGAUAACAGCAGGACGAGGGGAA